RNAcentral lists this non-coding RNA (3507 nucleotides) under Erysiphe necator (grape powdery mildew). RNAcentral's name for it is "Bacterial large subunit ribosomal RNA". The stretch from base 1 to 1238 matches the Rfam family "Bacterial large subunit ribosomal RNA". Lineage: Eukaryota; Fungi; Ascomycota; Leotiomycetes; Helotiales; Erysiphaceae. The record is from Rfam by way of RNAcentral.
GAGACUAUUAAGGAGGGCUAGCUAUAUAUUAAAGAGAUUAAUUUGUGUUUGUUAUUUAAUUAUUUUACACAUGCACUCUUAGAGAAAUUCAAUAAUAAACGAAGUGAAUUGAAAUAUCUUAGUAACUUUAGGAAAAGAAAUCAAACGAGAUUCUAUGAUUAGUGUGAAUGAAAAUAGAAAAGCCUAUUUAUAUUUAAAUAAAUAAAAAAAAUUUAUAUUUAUAUUGUAUUAUAUUUUUUUUAAUAGAUAUAUUAAAUAAGUAAAACGGGUAUAACCUCCUGUUUGAAUACGUCAAAUAAUAUAUUAUUUAUAAUUGUCUAGGCUUAGCCUUCUACAAUUAUUUGACAAAGGGGAACCUUCCUCUAAGGCUAAAUAUAAUAUAUAAGCGAUAGCGUAUAGUACUGUGAAGGAAAGGUUUGAAUUAGUAGUCUUAUAAGCAGCUAAUGCUUUAUUUAAUUAAAAAGUAAUAGCGUACCUUUUGCAUAAUGGGUCAGUAAGUUAAUAUUAGAUGCGAGCAUUCGUGCCCAGAUAAACCAAUUAUGAAUUAAUGAAUUAGUAUCUAAAAUUAGACCCGAAAGCCAGUGAUCUUACCAUAGUCAGGAUUAUAAAAGUCCGAACGGGUUAUCGUUGUAUAGAUAUCCGAUGAACUGUGGUAAGUAAGUGAAAGACAACACUGACUGGUAUAGCUGGUUUUCUGCGAAACCUAUAAAAGUAGGUAAUUUAAGUAACAUCAUAGCAGGUACAGAACUGUGUUCUCAGGCAACUUAUAUUUUGAGAUUAAAGAAAUUUGCUCUCAUUUUAUUUUUUGCAUAUAUCGGGCAAUCGUGAAGAUUUUAUCGGUGAGUAAUCGCACUCGGAAUGGUUAUGAUCUUUAUUAAAUAAUCGGACAUAGUACGCUAAGGUUGUAUGUCUAAAGGGAAACAGCCCAGAACAAGAGUUAAGGUUCCAAAAUUAUUGUUAAGUGAAAUUAAGGAUGUUUAGUUAAAAUACGGCCAGGAAAUUGGCUUAGAAGCGGCUCAUUUUUUAAAGAUCUCGUAAUAGAGCACUGGUUUAGUAUAUUAUUUACAUUAAUUUGAGCACCGAAGAUUUAACGGAUCUAAACAAUAUACCGACACCUGCGCCGAGUGAUUUAGGAAAUCACUUGUGUGGGUAUAAACUAUCAAACUCCGGGUACCUCCUAAACCUUCUGGUACCAGCCCACAAUUGAAAAAUUGUCGGUGGAUGAAUUAAUUGCUCAUGUAUGGUAAUAAUCCAGAAUGUGGUUGAAAAACAAAAGGAAUAUCGCGGAUCUAAAUCAGUAACAGGGUGCUUCGUUUUAAAUAAACCUACAAGCCACAAAUCUGUUACUGAAAAAGAGCAACGAGUAGACGGUAGUUGGUACUUUAACUCUUUUACUUCAAAAAAGUAAAUAAAAAGUAUUUAAGGUGUACUCUAAGGAGCUUCGAAAUAAAUCAAGUAAAAAUCCUUUCUAACCAAAUAAGACAAUGCUCAACUCAAACUUUGGGAACUGUGCGCUCAAAUGAUCUUAAGGGUUAUGAUCCGUGACUUAUAACAGGAUUCACGGAUGCUGAGGGGUCAUUUAUUGUUUCAGUUUCUAAAUACCCUGGCGCACGUUCAGGUUGAAAUAUCCAAGUAAAUUUUAAAAUAAGCCUGCAUACGAAAGAUUUACCUGUCUUGAAAGAGAUUCAACGCUCUUUAGGAGGGGUAGGUAAAAUAGCUAAAGCAAAGACAGGGAUAGUUAUUCGUUUGUUGUAAGUUCUAGAAAACAAAUAACAACUGUAAUCUUACCUCAUUUCGAUACUUAUCCUUUGAUUACCCAGAAGAAAGCUGACUAUGAAUUAUUUAAGCGUAUUAUUGAAACAAUGAAUAACCAGGAACAUUUAACUGAUCUUGGUCUUCAAAAAAUAAUAAAUCUUAGAGCUUCUCUCAAUUUGGGUUUAUCAGAGGGAUUAAAGUUAGCUUACCCUAAUACUAUACCAGUAGCCAAACCUUUAGUAAUCUUUAAGGGAAUCCCAUCUCCUCAAUGGGUCGCAGGAUUCGUAAGUGGUGAGGGUACUUUUUAUGUUGUCACUAGCGAAUCUAAGACCGAAGGGUUAAACGUAAGAUUAAGAUUUAUUAUAUCUCAAGACUCUAGAGAUGAGCAGCUUAUGAAAAGUUUAAUUACUUUCUUUGAUUGUGGUAGAUGUGAAAUAGCUAAAGACGGUAUGGUGUAUUUUUGUGUUACUAAUUUUUUAGAUAAUUACGUCAAAAUCCUACCCUUCUUUAGUAAAUACCAGUUAGUUGGUAUAAAAGCCAAGGACUUUGAAGAUUGGUACAAAAUAGCUUCUAUAGUUAAAGGCUCAUCUAACAAGGGUCAGACCAGAUUGUUAAAAUAAAGGCAGGGUAAAUUACUUAUAGUCUUUCUGACUACCUAAGUUGGAUAAUGUUAAAUAGUUAUGCUCCUCCGGAUGCGGGAGCGCGGGAGCGCGGGAGCGCGGAGCCAAAAAAAAAAAUUUACUGUAGCCUCCCCUGCAAAGCCAGUGGGGGAUUCAAUGAGUUUUAGUACCAUGGAAUAUUUGUAUGACAAAUUCGAUCGCCUUGUGUCCAUAGGUAUAAAUAAUUAAAAACCAGUUCUAGAUUUAGUAAUUAUUUUUCUUUAGUUCUUGUUUAAUUAAUCAAAGAUUAAUUAAAAAAAUGAACCAAGGGAUUAAAAAUAAAAAUUCACUUUUUAUAUUAUUAAUUAACGAAUCUUUAGCCUGGGGGUCCAUACCAAAAUAUAAUAUCUUAUUUAUAUUUAUGGGGUAGCAGAACGUUGGGUAAAUCCAAAUGGUUACUUUUAUUGUUUUUAAUAAUAAAUAUAUGAUAACCCAAGUGAUAAUGCUGACAUGAGUAACGAAAAAGGGGAUAUACCCUCGCCUAAAGCUUAUGGUAUUUUUUUGUAAGUAACGGCCUCUAAGUUUACCAACCUAAAGGAUUAAACGAUGAGAAAAUCUUUUAGUUCAUUAGUAACAACCUUCCUUCUUAUAUGUUUUAUUAUAGAAACUUUAUAAGAAAAGUUGAGGGAGGUUCUGGAAAAACCGUGACCUAUCUUUAAUUAAGAUAAAAACCGUACCUAAAUACCACCGACGGUAAGCUAGUAGAGAAUACGAAGGCGUUUGAGUGAACAAUCCUUAAGGAACUCGGCAAACUAACUACCGUAACUUCGGAAUAAGGAGUGCCAUUCCUCUUCAUUAAUAUGAGGUAAAGAAUAGGAAGCAUGGAAUAGUGUUGUACGACUGUUUAAUUAAAACAAAGCACUCCGCAAUAAGAUAAUAAAUCAAAGUAUUGAGUGUGAUUUCUGCCCGAUGUCGGCCGGUUAACGGAUUUUCUUAGUUGACUAAUAUAAGCUAGGUUUUGAAGGAAACCCCGAUGAAUGGCGGCCUUACCUAUGAGGGUCAAACAAGGCUCUCUCUAAAUUCAGCUAUUUGCUGGAAGGGUUCAAGUGAUUGUAAGAACUUUAGUUGUCUUAAUAGGGGUUUUAGAAAGUUA